GUCUUUCCAAACACCUCGGCCAGUUCUGCUACCAAAUCCCAGGAUCCAGUGGCUUUCUGCAGGGAGAUCAACUGGAGCAGAAGAUCCUUCGGUGGCUGGGGGGGCUCUGACAUUUCAGUGUCCUCUAAACCGGCCCAGACAACAUCCUCUGACAUAGAAACACCAAAUAGAGCGUCAUCUCGGUCAGCAACAGCACGUGCCAUCCUAUUCAUUACUGCAAGAGAAAAACAUGGUAAACAUGGUUUUAAUUAUUCCUCUGGCUGAACAGACAGGCAUGUACGCACACGUGCACAUGCGCACACAUGCUCAUGCCCACGCA
This is a long non-coding RNA of Anguilla rostrata (American eel), 319 nucleotides long. RefSeq lists it as uncharacterized. The record is from RefSeq and is a predicted model, not a curated record. The transcript has 2 exons. NCBI's taxonomy places the organism in Eukaryota, Metazoa, Chordata, Actinopteri, Anguilliformes, Anguillidae.